AAUGACAAAGAUAAAAACGCAACGUAUACCUUCGGGUAUGCUAGAGCCGGUAGGUAGCCCGGCCGUCCUGUGAAUACAGGGUAAGUAACCUGCCCCUCCGGGUUGUCCGUUCUUUGUCCAUAGCAA
Molecule: regulatory RNA element, 126 nt
Organism: Ruminococcus flavefaciens 007c
Lineage: Bacteria; Bacillati; Bacillota; Clostridia; Eubacteriales; Oscillospiraceae
Rfam family: azaaromatic riboswitch aptamer (yjdF RNA)
Source: Rfam